UGGGGAAUUGUUCGCAAUGGGCGCAAGCCUGACGACGCAACGCCGCGUGGAGGAUGAAGGUCUUCGGAUUGUAAACUCCUGUCGAACGGGACGAACAUCCACCUGGUUAAUACCUUGGUGGACUGACGGUACCGUGAGAGGAAGCCCCGGCUAACUCUGUGCCAGCAGCCGCGGUAAUACAGAGGGGGCAAGCGUUGUUCGGAAUUACUGGGCGUAAAGGGCGCGUAGGCGGCCUUCUAAGUCAGACGUGAAAUCCCUCGGCUCAACCGGGGAACUGCGUCUGAGACUGGAAGGCUUGAAUCCGGGAGAGGGAUGUGGAAUUCCAGGUGUAGCGGUGAAAUGCGUAGAUAUCUGGAGGAACACCGGUGGCGAAGGCGGCAUCCUGGACCGGUAUUGACGCUGAGGCGCGAAAGCCAGGGGAGCAAACGG
This 429-nucleotide ribosomal RNA is filed under the name uncultured bacterium. RNAcentral's name for it is "bacterial SSU rRNA". It matches the Rfam family "Bacterial small subunit ribosomal RNA", at positions 355 to 775 of the family's 1533-position model. The record is from RNAcentral.